CAGCACCUCAAGUGGUCAGGAUGAUUAUUGGGCCUAAAGCAUCCGUAGCCGGCGCUGUAAGUUUUCGGUUAAAUCUGUACGCUCAACGUACAGGCUGCCGGGAAUACUGCAGCGCUAGGGAGUGGGAGAGGUAGACGGUACUCGGUAGGAAGGGGUAAAAUCCUUUGAUCUAUUGAUGACCACCUGUGGCGAAGGCGGUCUACCAGAACGCGUCCGACGGUGAGGGAUGAAAGCUGGGGGAGCGAACCGGAUUAGAUACCCGAGUAGUCC
This 270-nucleotide ribosomal RNA is filed under the name uncultured archaeon. RNAcentral's name for it is "partial 16S ribosomal RNA". It matches the Rfam family "Archaeal small subunit ribosomal RNA", at positions 477 to 747 of the family's 1478-position model. The record is from RNAcentral.